UAUGUGCCUUUGGACUACAUCGUGGACGCAGCACCAUGCAGUCCACGGGCAUAUACA
RNAcentral lists this microRNA precursor (57 nucleotides) under Rattus norvegicus (Norway rat). RNAcentral describes it as "Rno-Mir-455-v1_pre stem-loop". Lineage: Eukaryota; Metazoa; Chordata; Mammalia; Rodentia; Muridae. The record is from RNAcentral.